UUUGUUCAGCUACCGUAUCAUCGUGACAGUCGAGCGGACAGAAGGGACUUGCUCCCGGAUGUUACGGCGGACGGGUGAGUAACACGUGGGUAACCUGCCUGUAAGACUGUGAUAACUCCGGGAAACCGGAGCUAUUACCGGAUAGUUCCUUGAACCGCAUGGUUCAAGGAUGAAAGACGGUUUCUGCUGUGACUUACAUAUGGACCCGCGGCGCAUUAUCUAUUUGGGGGGGUAAUGGCUCACCAAGGCGACGAUGCGUAGCCGACCUGUGAGGGGGAUCGGCCACACUGUGACUGAGACACGCCCCCCACUCCUACGGGAGGCAGCAGUAGGGAAUCUUUCGCAAUGGACAAAAGUCUGACGCAGCAACGCCGCGUGAGUGAUGAAGAGUUUUCGGAUCGUAAAGCUCUGUGGUUAGGGAAAGAACAAGAG
RNAcentral lists this ribosomal RNA (432 nucleotides) under Bacillus pumilus. Its description in RNAcentral is "bacterial SSU rRNA". It matches the Rfam family "Bacterial small subunit ribosomal RNA", at positions 39 to 456 of the family's 1533-position model. Lineage: Bacteria; Bacillati; Bacillota; Bacilli; Caryophanales; Bacillaceae. The record is from RNAcentral.